AUUGAACGCUGGCGGCAGGCCUAACACAUGCAAGUCGAACGGUAACAGGAAGCAGCUUGCUGCUUUGCUGACGAGUGGCGGGCGGGUGAGUAAUGUCUGGGAAACUGCCCGAUGGAGGGGGAUAACUACUGGAAACGGUAGCUAAUACCGCAUAACGUCGCAAGACCAAAGAGGGGGACCUUAGGGCCUCUUGCCAUCGGAUGUGCCCCGAUGGGAUUAGCUAGUAGGUGGGGUAACGGCUCACCUAGGCGACGAUCCCUAGCUGGUCUGAGAGGAUGACCAGCCACACUGGAACUGAGACACGGUCCAGACUCCUACGGGAGGCAGCAGUGGGGAAUAUUGCACAAUGGGCGCAAGCCUGAUGCAGCCAUGCCGCGUGUAUGAAGAAGGCCUUCGGGUUGUAAAGUACUUUCAGCGGGGAGGAAGGGAGUAAAGUUAAUACCUUUGCUCAUUGACGUUACCCGCAGAAGAAGCACCGGCUAACUACGUG
RNAcentral lists this ribosomal RNA (490 nucleotides) under uncultured bacterium. RNAcentral describes it as "partial 16S ribosomal RNA". It matches the Rfam family "Bacterial small subunit ribosomal RNA", at positions 30 to 507 of the family's 1533-position model. The record is from RNAcentral.